Molecule: long non-coding RNA, 3476 nt
Organism: Ictalurus punctatus (channel catfish)
Lineage: Eukaryota; Metazoa; Chordata; Actinopteri; Siluriformes; Ictaluridae
Exons: 3
Source: RefSeq, a predicted model, not a curated record
AACAUAAUUAGCCGAGCUCUCAGAGUGGGAAGGAUGGCAUUCUUUCUCUGUCCCCUGUCACUUACAGCAACUCUAGAUAGCAUUUUCCUCUGAGUGUGUUGUCCUGCCCUGAUGCGGAGAUGUGGAGGUUGGUGUCAUGUGUCUCAGAGGAAGCAUGUGCUUACCCCAACCUCCCAAGAUGCUGUGAUACGGAAGAGUUAGCUAGUGGGAGGAAAUUAGCAAGACCAAAUGGGGAGAAAAUGGAAGCAAAAACAACAACAACAACAACAACAACAACAACAGCAGCAAAAAUCCACUUCAGAUCUGUAGGCCACAAUGCUGUUGUCAUGAUCUUGCUGGCAGAUGGCGCUGCGGCGACGACGUGCACAGUCAGCUGGAGAGCGUGUGCACGUGCUUGAAGUGCGCAUGGAUGAUAAGACUUUGUUUACAACGGACAUGUGCACUUAUUUUGGUUUCUGUUCUGUCCCCACCCUGUUCAGUUAUUGGCGGAGGUGUGAGGGUGUGCUUUGAAGUGUUACCAGCUGUCAGCAAUUAAGAGGGAUGCGGGAAGACUGGAGCCUAUCCCGGGGACUCGGGGCAUAAGGUGGGGACACCUUGGAUGGGGUGCCAACCCAAUUGCACACACACACACACUCAUUCACACACUAUGGACAAUUUAAAGUUGCCAAUCAGUCAACAACGCAUGUCUUUGGACUGGGGGAGGAAACCAGAGCAACUGGAGGAAACCCCUGACACACGAGGAGAACAUUCAAACUCUGUGCACAUAGGGCGGAGGCGGGGAUCAAACCCCUAACUACUAAGCCACCACGUCCCCAACAACAACAACAACAACAACAACAACAACAACAAUAACAACAAGUUAAAAAAAAAAAGAAGACGAAGAGGAAGAACAGAAUGUUGGCUCUGCUAAGCCAACAUAAUAAGCUCCACCCACAGGCCAGGAAGAUGCCCAGCAGCAGGAGCAGGCCCUUAUAGCCAUACACCACUCCUAAAGAGAAAAGGGUGAGAAUUAAGCAUUUUUUUUGUUUGUGUUUUGGAAACACAAGUGGCAAAAAUAGCAUUAAUUACUCUGUGUGAUGAGGAUUAUUAAUGCAUUGAAUUAAUACAUCUCUUCACAUAAUGACAAUGAUACCUCACAUGACAUUUCUUCCAUACAGUGGUGCUCUAAUGACAGUACAUUGUACAGCAUUGACUGAUUCUCAAAUACAUUGCUCUACAUACGUUCUGCAGUGUAUUCAACACAAUAUCCUAACUGGCCAUACAAGCUCUGGUUAUACACCUGAAGAAUAGGCCAAAUUAUUUUUGAGUCAUACAGCAAGUACAAGUAAAGUAAUUUGCCGCUUACAAGCACCUGCAAGUAUUCCUUUAGUAUAUGUCUAAUGCUACAGUCAAACUUGGUUGUGUGUUAACUAUGUUUAUAAAAAAAAACCUCUACACAUAUGGUCCACUGUUGCAGUAUUCACUGCUUUGAAAGUGGAAAUUUUCUGCUCAUGAGCUAUGACACAUUAUUGUCAUUUCUCAGUAUGGGAAAACCCAUGGAAGUUCAGUUAGCAGUCAAGCUUAAUGUAGUCACAGAGUAAUUUUAGCUGUACAGAAACUUUUCUUGGUAAUUUACCAACACAUCUGAGGAAAGUGUUGCUAUUCCUGAUAGGUUUGUUUGACAGUUUACUUCCACAGUAACUGUCCCUUUACACUGUGUGUGCUCCACAGCUGAAUCAUUAGCCUCAGUCAUGAGCUAGCUUAGCAUACAUUAUAAUAGGAAAGUGACUAGCAUGGCACAUACCACAACGAUGAGUCAUUGAUAAAAUGCAUAUAGCCAGAAUAACAACUAAUCAGUAAAAACAGUUAGUGUAAUAAUGUAUGGUAAGGUUAAAGCAAGGAAAAGAAAAUACAUUUUAGUUUAUUACUAUAUUCUUAUCAUUUUAAAUUGAAGUAGUACAGGUAAUAAACAUAAGACUAAACAGUUACAGAGAAGCAUGGAGUUGAAAGAAAGAAAAAAAAGGAGAGAGAAAAAACACAAUGGCAAAAGACAUUCAUUUCCAAAUACCAGUAUUUUUCUUCUUCUGUUUUAGCUUAGUGUUGUUUCCUUUUUUUCCCUUCUCUAACAAAUGAGAUUUAACUUCACCUCUUAAUACCACCUUAAUAGUGUUGCUAAGAUUUCCAGAGAAUUAUUUAUGUCCUAGGAAGCGCAGUACUAAAAUGUGGUGGUUCAGUGGUUACAGUUCUGUGCUAGUGAUCAGAGGGUUGUGAAGACUGUCAAAUAACUAUUGAUGAGGGCUUGAGCAAAGAAGUUAACCCUUAACUGCUCAUCUGUGUGCAUGUGGCUUGGUCCUGCCUUGACUAUAAGUCAGUGCAAGUUAAACAUCUGCCAUUUAAAGAACAUGUUAACAUGUUCAAAUGACAAAUGUCUGGGGUGAGACAUCAGUAUAUUUUUAGUCAUGAUUUCCUCCCAACGUUAGCUUUAGCCAUUCUGAGAGUUCCCCCUCACUGUAUCUAUAAUGAACGUUUGUUGCAGACUGAAACUCUGCUGUCCUCUGCUGAAACUGUGAGAAAUUUCCGCACCGCUGAUUCUUUCACUUAGCAGCAACAGAGCGUGAAUGUUUAUCGGCGCAAGCAUGAGAGAAAAUGAGGUGUCAAGUAAUUGGUUGUAAUUAUAAGCUGUAAUUCCAAUAACAGUUAAGAAAAAAUUGCAUUGAACACUUUGGCAAUGGAAAUAUCACGCACCCUGAUCAAGUUUUAAGAACUACACAACUUGGCACAGAACAGCAAUACAAAAAAAAUGCUUCACUGUUGAAUAAUAUUUAUGAAAAGAUAUACUGAGCAAAAUUCACACGAUCUGUCACAUAACUGAAGUUUAUUGGUUUUAUUUCCCUGCCUUCCACCAGAGUAGUUAUCUACAGUAAUCAGUAAGGUCUAUCCUCUACCACAUGUCAGUGUCUCCAAACUAAGAUGAUGAAUUUAGGAUGCUUGCCCAAGUCUUCUUGAUAUGCAUAAGUUUGGCCUCCGUAUCUUGGUAAACCAGGCCACUGUCCCUGCAGCACUGUCACAAUUUAUAGCUUUUUCCUCCCGAUAAGGCUGUUUUGUGUUCAUACAUAGGGAAUAUAUAGCAAAGACAUGGCCCAACAAAUUCUGACCUUACAGGUCCUGAGAACAAAGUUUAUUUGUCUUAAGAAUUUAUGUUAAUACCCAUCACUGGUUCCUCAGUAGAUUGACAUCAUCUUUUUUUUAAGGGGUUGGGGGGUGCAAAAUGAGAACAUCCUGCUCUGUGUUCAUUUGCAAGACAUUUUCACUGACUGACCCAGAUCAGUGAAUCCCAAACUGUGAUGCUCAGAUGGAAAAGAGACUAAGAAAUAGGCAGAAAGAAUAAAGAAGAAUAAAAUAAAGCAGGAAAUCAUAAAAGAAUAUGAAAAUGGAAGACAUAGAAAAGGACAUGAGAGAGAGACAGACUAGACAGAGAUGAAGGAUGCAGUACCGAG